RNAcentral lists this unclassified non-coding RNA (231 nucleotides) under plant metagenome. Its description in RNAcentral is "partial contains small subunit ribosomal RNA, internal transcribed spacer 1, and 5.8S ribosomal RNA". The record is from RNAcentral.
UCUCCGUUGGCGAACCAGCGGAGGGAUCAUUACAGAGUUGCAAAACUCCCAAACCAUUGUGAACGUUACCUAUCCCGUUGCUUCGGCGGGCGGCCCGGGCCCCGCGCCCGGCGCCCCCCGGCCCCCCGUGGGCGCCCGCCGGAGGUAAACCAAACCCUUGAAUUGCAUGGCCUCUCUGAGUCUUCUGUACUGAAUAAGUCAAAGCUUUCAACAACGGAUCUCUUGGUUCUG